Molecule: transfer RNA, 63 nt
Filed under: Lachesilla sp. LaspGHN
Lineage: Eukaryota; Metazoa; Arthropoda; Insecta; Psocodea; Lachesillidae
Description: tRNA-Gly
Source: RNAcentral
AUUUAUUUAAUAUAAAAAGUAUAUUUGGCUUCCAACCAAAAAGUUUAAUUUUUAAAAUAAAUA